Molecule: non-coding RNA, 3342 nt
Organism: Delphinapterus leucas (beluga whale)
Lineage: Eukaryota; Metazoa; Chordata; Mammalia; Artiodactyla; Monodontidae
Source: RefSeq, a predicted model, not a curated record
CCCCUGCUUUUUUAAACUGAUUCCAAAUCAAGCUCGGUGUAUUCUUCAGAGAUUGACUCAAUUCGCCUAAGAACCUUGUUGAGUCCUUCCUAGCACCGUGUUGAGCAAAUUACAUGGCACUUUCGUCAUGCCAGCUACACCCAGGAAAUGCAGGUUAUGAAAGUUUAGAAUUAGGAAAUGACACAAGUUGUGCAGUUCAACGUGAGCUUAUCUUUUGAAAGUUUCUAUUUCACAGCUCCUGAGGGGCUGCACUCUACAUGACCUGUAAUACCGAGGUUUUAGGAGACCGGCUCUAAGAGGAAGAAUUGACCAAGUUACCUGUUGCAGCUCCAGGCGACAGCGUCUGAGAGUCCAGUUUGGGGAGAGAAGUGUGACAGGGGCGUUGCUCCAUCAGCCGCCUUGUGAAGCCCUGAUUAACUAGCAGCUCAGAAAGAGCUGGGGACUGACCGUCAGGCUGACCUUGACUGGAGCGCCUCCCCACGAUUCACUGGCUGAGUGAUUUAGGCAAGUAUUUACCCCUCUGACCCCUUAUAAAGCUGGAGAUAGUACCUACCUUUCUGGGUUGUUGGGAGAAUUAUGGAGCCAAUGGAUGUUCCAUCAAAUAUCAACAUCACUUCUGGCAAAUGCUCAGGAGAUAGCACUGUUCUAUGUCGGUGGUUCUCAACCCAGGGUGAUUUUGCCCUCCAGAGCACAUUUGGCAACAUCUGGGGACAUUUUCGAUUGUCACCGGUGGGAGGAGGAUGCAUCAGCAUUGACUGGGUAGAGGCCCAGGCUGCUACCCAACUGUCAUAGAGACAAAGUGGAAAAACUCUGGUCUAUGUUAUGGUAACGCCCAUAAUCCUCAUAGGAACCCCAUGAAGUGGUACUAUUAUUAUUCCUCUAUUUUAGAUAGGGGAAUAUUGGAGAGAUUUAAUGCCUUGGAAGUGAAAUGACUUGCCCAAGCACAGGUAGCUAGUAAGAGCUGGGAUUUGAACCGAGCCAGUCCAGCUCCAGGGUUCUUACAUUUAACCACUUAUCUUAGGUUGCCUUCUGCUGCAGUGGGUCAAAAGCAGUGAAGGUAGGAGAUCUAGAAGCUUCCCUUUCCCCUAUGCUAGUGAUUCUUAAACUCCAGCAAGCAUCAGAAUGACUUGUUGGGCAAAUUAGAAUGCAGUUCCCUGGACCCUAUGCCCAGGCCACCCUGACGUAGAUGUUUUUUGAGGCACAAGGCUCUACACCAGCCCUUGUGAAAGCUUUCACUUAGAGUACCAGCAUGAUAUCAGCCGUAAAAUCUUGUUUUCUGAAUCUCAGUUUUUCACGAAAUACUGUGUGAAGUGCUUAACAUAAUUUUAGGAUGUUGUCCAAGGGAAAAAUUUUAAUGCAAAAGCUUUUGAACCCGAAUCCACUGAUUCACUCACAGGUAUUUACUGAGCACUGCUCUGUGCCAGGCACUGUUCUGUGGACACAAAGAUAAAUAUGACCCUAUCAGGUCCCUUUCUUAUUCAGUGGUCCUCAGCUCUUUAUAUCAUCACAAGCUGGCCUCCUGUCCAAUCCCCACAUUUCCCUACACAGCCUCUCAGCUCUGUUCAUUGCCCACUGUCCCCACUUUCUCAUUGCUGCCUCUGUAGCUUUGUCGUGCUCUACUGUACUCGAGGCCUCCUCUCUCUCUAAUCCACAUAUCUAACUCCUAUUCAUCCUUCAAAACCCAGAUCAAAUCUCAUUUCCUUAGUGAAGGCUUCCCUAACCAUCCUACUUCAGGACAAUUUCUUCUCUCCCAUAGUCUCACAGUAUUUUAAGUCACCAUUAUUUUUGGAACUGCUACUUCGUAUACACAUAUGGAUUCAUUUUUAUGCAUGCCUGGUAGGGGAAAAAAGGUUGCAAUCUGGAACAGUUUAUUGUAAAGGAUUUAGUCACUCUGGGCGGCAUGGUAGAUGUAGAUGCAGAAUAGGCAUCGGUUUGCCAAAUGUAGUUUAAAAUUCCUGCGGGUGGAUCUUAGAGCCCAGAUCUGCCGGCUGUGUGCCUGGCUUACCCACUUGGACCAAGUGCUGCUGCUCAGAAUGGCCAAAACCCACAGAGGCCCCAGUUAGUAUCUGUGUCUGGCACUAAUUCCAAGAAUUUCUGGAUUUGUCCUUCAGUGAUUCUUCCCAGAGUUGUCAGCUAAAGAGAAAGAGGAAGACUUUAGCAAUAGCUAAUGUUUAUUGAGUGCUUACUAUGUGCUGGUCAUUGUGUUCAAUGCUUUAUUUGCAUCGUCUUGUUCAACCCUCACAGUAACCAUGUAAGGUAGGAGCUAUCUCCUCCAUGUUACAUGUGAAGAAACAGAGGCUAAGAGAGAUUUAGUAACUUGCCCAAGUUCACACAGCUGGUAGCAGCUGUAGUCAGUGGAAUUCAGGCCUUUCUGUUUUUAUUCUGAACUUUUAACCCUUCUAUGCAAUCCAGUGUUGGGUGUAAAAACUAUUAAGGCCACCCAAGGCUUCCCAAUUUUUAGAUGAAUGCUGGGACUCAUAACCUUUGUCGUCUAAAAAGCUUUGUAUUGAAAUAAGGAUUAUUUAAGAACCAAUGCAGUUCCAACUGAAAAGAUGUUUUGUCAUAUUCAGUAAAAGAAGAUUUAAAAUAACUGCUGCUUGGUCAUACUCCCAUUCUAUCCUGAAAGCCCAGCUCUGGACAACUGGGAAGAUAGGGUGUAAAAGGGCACAUGCAUUACAAUGUUUUCUAGGAAAACUGGUGGGUGAAAGACUUCCUGAGAAAUUUCACACUGGAAAGGAAUACUCUGCUCUGCUAUAUUUAAAGGCAGAUAAUGAAAUCUUUUCUUCUGGGCACAUGUUCCUUGCCCUGUGUUUAUAGUUGUCACUAGUUCAGGUGGCCUGAAAUGCCUGAUGUUGGAAAUACUGGCCAUUUCAGAUUCCCCAUUGGUCAGGAAGGGUGAGGAACGUCUCCUAAUUUUAUAAAAAGCAGAGUCACAGAACUUAGAAAGAUGCAGUUUGUACCCAUUACCAGAGGGACAGAUUUUAUGGUUUUUAGUGUCAAUUUGAAUAAGCAAAUUUGAUGGGGAUAGCGGUUGCAUAAUUUAAAAAAACUGUUUUUGUUUUGUUUUAUAAAAAUCCAGAUUUUGAGAGGCAUGCGUAGCUGAGAUGAAGUGAGCUAACAUUUUGGUCCAGAAAGAAAUGCAGAAAAGAAGUUCUUGGUGAUUCUGAAUAUUAAGUCUUUGCUUUGGAGUCAGUUGUAAUUUUUAUGUCAGUUCUUAUUAAAGUAACAGCAGACACAUACAUAAUGAAACUUUAUUAAAUGUGAAUGAGUCCCUGAGAGAAUCACUAGCGAUAGGAAGAACAAAAAAUGCUUCCCUGGGCUUCCCUGGUGGCUCAGUGGUUG